Molecule: RNA transcript, 1762 nt
Organism: Panthera uncia (snow leopard)
Lineage: Eukaryota; Metazoa; Chordata; Mammalia; Carnivora; Felidae
Gene: PAQR3
Gene name: progestin and adipoQ receptor family member 3
Exons: 8
Source: RefSeq, a predicted model, not a curated record
GCGGCGCUGACGGCGGUGGCCGGUCAGAGCUCUGAGCGGGGCCUGGGCAGCGGCGGGGCCGUAGGACCUCGCGCUGCGUUCGCGGGCUCCGGGGCGGGGGCGGCGGCGGCGAAGCCCCCUCCCCGGGGAGGCGGGGCCUGGGCGAGCUCCCCAGCCGGGGAGCGGCGGCGGCUGGGAAGGAUGCAUCAGAAGCUGCUGAAGAGCGCUCAUUACAUCGAGCUGGGCAGCUACCAGUACUGGCCAGUCCUGGUGCCCCGCGGCAUCCGUCUCUACACCUACGAACAGAUCCCCGUGUCCCUCAAGGACAACCCGUACAUCACCGACGGCUACCGGGCCUACCUGCCCUCCAGGCUGUGUAUCAAAAGUUUGUUUAUUUUAUCUAAUGAGACGGUAAAUAUCUGGAGUCAUUUGCUGGGUUUCUUUCUCUUCUUUACACUGGGAAUAUAUGACAUGACAUCAGUGUUACCUUCGGCAAGUGCAUCCAGAGAAGAUUUUGUAAUUUGUUCUAUUUGUCUUUUCUGCUUCCAGGUCUGUAUGCUUUGCUCUGUGGGCUAUCAUCUUUUUUCUUGCCAUCGAUCAGAAAAAACCUGUCGAAGAUGGAUGGCAUUAGAUUAUGCAGGAAUUUCUAUUGGAAUACUGGGCUGCUAUGUCUCUGGUGUAUUUUAUGCUUUUUAUUGUAAUAACUACUGGCGUCAAGUGUACUUGAUCACAGUGCUUGCCAUGAUCCUGGCAGUGUUCUUCGCACAGAUCCAUCCCAAUUACCUCACCCAGCAGUGGCAGAGGCUCCGUUCUAUCAUCUUCUGUUCUGUUUCGGGAUAUGGAGUGAUCCCAACUCUUCACUGGGUUUGGCUCAAUGGAGGAAUCGGUGCUCCUAUUGUACAGGACUUUGCACCCCGUGUAAUUGUGAUGUAUGUGAUUGCUCUUCUUGCUUUCCUAUUCUACAUUUCCAAAGUUCCAGAACGGUACUUUCCAGGACAACUAAACUACCUCGGAUCAAGCCACCAAAUAUGGCACAUCCUUGCAGUAGUGAUGUUAUAUUGGUGGCAUCAGUCAACAGUGUAUGUCAUGCAGUACAGACAUAGCAAGCCUUGCCCUGACUAUGUUUCACAUUUGUGAAUUCAGAAUCAGGAAUGAAGAAUUCAGGGACUGUCACAUCUUAUGGCAUCCCACCUGGACAAAGUAACCGAUUUGAAGAUUGUGACUGACUGGCAUAAAGGUGUGCAACUCCAUUUGGCAGGUACCUACCUGGAGAUAUCUUUGCCCUGUACUAAACAUGAAGGGGCAAAGUCUACACUUCUGGAUCCCUGCCAGUUGCUGAGCUGAGUAGGAGUUAAUGACAAGAGUCCGUCGGAAGUAUCUACUGUUUAGAAGGAAAUGGAGCAGCACCAAAGGGGUCUAAUUCAACUGACUGGGACUGUUGGGACUGAUGUGAAGCGAUGCUUUGCACCACAAGUUCUGUAAAGGGCACGGCACCAAAAUCAUCCAUUUUCAACGCGUCUGCACUAUGGAAUGAGCCAUGCAGAGAACUCGGUCGUGGCCGCCCAGGCAGGACGGGGUUGUGGUCAGCACGGAUGUCACUCAGGCCCUGAUGUGGAGGGUGCCAUGGCAGAUCUGGAGGAUGGAAGGGCUUGGCACCAAAGGGGUCCAACAGAUUCUCCUCGGGUUGCAGGCCGUUCCCUCUGUCUCUCCCGUCGGUCAGUGCAACACUAAUGUUCUCCUUGGAGUCCGAGAUGGUUAAAAAUUCAUUGCUGCUUUGAGAGUC